GAUGAAGAACGUAGCGAAAUGCGAUAAGUAGUGUGAAUUGCAGAAUUCAGUGAAUCAUCGAAUCUUUGAACGCACAUUGCGCCCCUUGGUAUUCCAUGGGGCAUGCCUGUUCGAGCGUCAUUUGUACCUUCAAGCUCUGCUUGGUGUUGGGUGGUUGUCUCGCCUCUGCGUGUAGACUCGCCUCAAAACAAUUGGCAGCCGGCGUAUUGAUUUCGGAGCGCAGUACAUCUCGCGCUUUGCACUCAUAACGACGACGUCCAAAAGUACAUUUUUACACUCUUGACCUCGGAUCAGGUAGGGAUACCCGCUGAACUUAAGCAUAUCAAUAAGCGGAGGA
This 337-nucleotide unclassified non-coding RNA is filed under the name soil metagenome. RNAcentral describes it as "partial contains 5.8S ribosomal RNA, internal transcribed spacer 2, and large subunit ribosomal RNA". The stretch from base 1 to 120 matches the Rfam family "5.8S ribosomal RNA", at positions 35 to 154 of the family's 154-position model. The record is from RNAcentral.